Long non-coding RNA from Brachypodium distachyon (stiff brome), 2818 nucleotides. RefSeq lists it as uncharacterized. The transcript is spliced from 3 exons. The record is from RefSeq and is a predicted model, not a curated record. Lineage: Eukaryota; Viridiplantae; Streptophyta; Magnoliopsida; Poales; Poaceae.
UGUUCUCUCUCCCUUAUCCCUUCGUAUCUCUCUCUUCACCACCGCAGCUCCUCCACAAACUCCUCCUUCCCUCCCCUACAGGCUACAGCUCCUCCCCACGGCAGCUCCUCCACUCCCCGCGGUGGCACAGCCAGGCAGCGGCGAGGCCUGACUGCAGCGGCGGCUCCGGUCUGCCCCCUUCCCUCUCCCCUAUUUCCUUAGCCUCGUGGUGGGGCUGCAGCAGCGGCGGGCGGCGCACGGGGCGGCAGCAGAGGCGAGCGGUGGCUGGCGACGGGCGGGCCAAGCAGCAUCGAUGAACAAGGCGGCGCGCGCGGCAAGCAGCUGCAGCGGCGGCGGGCUGCGGGCUUGGCGAGCGGAUACGGCGCGCGCGGCGGGCUAGGCGAGGAGCAGAAGCAACGCGGGGCAGCAGGCGGGGAGCGGCUGCAGCGGCGCGCGGCGCGUGCGGGCGGCAGGCGGGAGCAGCAGCCAGCGGCACGUACGGGGCAGCAGACGGCGCGCCGCGAGCAGCGGCCAGCGGCGCUCCCUCCUCUAUCCCCUCUUUGUGGCGGGGCGAGGCAGCGGCGGUGCAGGUCCGGCGGCGAACGGCGGGUAGCGCAGGGUAGGUUCGGCGGCGCCUGUGGGCGAGCAGCGGUCGCGACGGGGCAGCAGCAGGCGGGUGGAUGCUGACUUUUUUUUUUUUGUUUUUACCGAUCUUUGCCGGAGGCAGGCAUUCGGCAAAGCAACUGGCCCCGUGGUUAUUCCGUCUCUCUUCCGUCUAUACGAAGUUUGCACUUUUGUUUGUCGGAGGCCAGAAAAAGGCCACGACAAAGGCUUUGCCGAAGGAAAAAAAAAGACCGCCGGCAAAGAGGCUUUACCGGUAUGCGGUCCCGUGUCGGGAGCAUUUGUGUCUUUGCUGGAGGCCGGCAAAGUGAGUUUUCCCGGCAGUGAUGUGUGUUCCCGGCCGUUAGGCAGAGCCAGAGGCAACCAUCGCGACCUGUCGGUCUUUAGUCUCGCUGCAAGGAAGAUAACUAGCGCGCGAGUUGUACCGUGUGGGAUUUGGAGGCUUCGGGAAUUUUUGCGUUGACAUGCGUGUUCCCGUUAGGCAGAGCCAGAGGCAACCAUCCAGCUUGCGCCGAAAAUAUCAAACUGCCGCGGAAUUUCCUUGUACGAUUGGGCACCCAUGAACCAGUGAGUUGGUUCUUAAGCAGUUCAAAUAGAGCCAAUGAACCACAUGUAAGUGCAGACCAGCUCCCAUGACACAUGUUAUUGCUUACUGGCCAGAGACCAUGCCAAAAAGGAAACUUAAGGCUGCAGUGCAAAAACAAAUUGAGCUUUUCUACCGUAUCCUAAUAGUAGUAUAGUAUAAAUGUUAUCCAGCCGUUGAUUCACGGGCCUUUUUGAUACUUUCUGUUGUUUUUUCCACAUCUCGGCGGUAUAAGGGUAAUUUUACACAGUACAUGGUUUGCAAAUGCCCAUCGGACCAAGGACCAGCAGUAACCCCGCCACGGCCGCCAUGCUCACCCUCACGAUGUGCUUCUCUGGGGCCGCCGCUUCUCUGCCAUGUCUGGCCACAACAGCGCUUGCGUUUUCGACGGACGCCGCCGUGCGCGCUGUUACAAUCGAGUUAGUUACUCUUGGCCCCUUUGGUAUGUAUUCAGCCGCAUGCUCUGGUCUGGCUGUUAGCUAUACGCAUAAUGUCGAUGGCCGCCGGCGACGUCCAACUCCUCACUGCGUAUGUCUGAACGGGGCGGCAGAAGCCACAUAAUUGCUUCUCUCCUUGUAGCGAAAGCGUGAAGGCAUUCGAAUUCUUAACCUUAGUUAAUUUGCCAAAUUGAUUAAUCCAUGAGCCGUGGAGCCGUGAAGGUAUUGGAUGGUGCUCAGCUGCUUCUAUUGCCUAACACAAAUACCAAUAACAAGUUCAGGUUGGACAGAGAAACUGCUGUGUUUAGGUAAGGCCUAGUAGUGUUCAGGAACGUGUGUGAUGCUCCCCUCACAUGUUUUCCCAUCUCAUUUUCAGAGUCAUGGCUUUACCGGGAAAACAAAAAUGGAAUCAAGAGCCUGCAUCCAGAGCGAGAAUCUUAGAGCAAAUAUUGUGUAGUUUCGUCACGAACAGAGCCAUGGAUAUCAGGAUAUGGUAGGCCAGUUUGGAGAAAAAACAAGCCAAACGAAGUUAAUUAAGUUGGUUCACAAUAAACUGUGCCAGCUCCAUUUUCAUGGCGCACAGUCAGCACGAGCCAUACUUCGUGGAGGUUUGCAUAUGUCCGCUUUCAGAUCGAACAUUUUUUGGAGCAUAUGUUCAGUUUCGAACAUUUGGAAGGAGAGAAAUGGAUUUAUCUUUGAGGCCAAAGUUCCUUGUUUGUCUAGAUGGGUUGUCUCCUUGAAUAGUGGUAUUCAGCUCGUAUCUAUUGGGUUAGAAUCAGGUUGGAAAGCCUCUCUUAGAGGUCUCCACGUCUUAUUUUUUGAAGAACAGCUUUUGCGUCUCGGUGCUAUGUGGUACAAGUAUUGAUCUCCGCCGAGAAAGCAACAAUACAUGCAUGGGGAUUUGAGAGAAACAAGUCAUUAUUCUCUUCGGAACAAGGCAAAAGCAGAGUAUCAAGGUUUUUUAGAGUCCGACAUAAUAAAUGGUCCAGGACUUAACGGUCAUAAUUGCAUUUUGUUGCAUGUAUUCAUUAAGCUUCAAUUUCCUGAUUUGUAAUAAAUGAUGUAAUAAAUUUAGGUUGCAUGCAUGUAGUACUCAGUAAGCUUCAAUUUCUUUUCUUUUUUGUAUUUUGUACAUUAAAAGGAGAGUGGAUCCAGUACCUCUCAUGACUCAUGAUGUAAUAAAUAAGGUGCAUGGAAA